Molecule: ribosomal RNA, 1492 nt
Filed under: uncultured Bordetella sp.
Lineage: Bacteria; Pseudomonadati; Pseudomonadota; Betaproteobacteria; Burkholderiales; Alcaligenaceae
Description: partial 16S-23S ribosomal RNA intergenic spacer
Rfam family: Bacterial small subunit ribosomal RNA
Source: RNAcentral
GUUCGAUUCUGGCUCAGAUUGAACGCUGGCGGGAUGCUACACAUGGAAGUCCGGAACGGCAGCACGGACUUCGGUCUGGUGGCGAGUGGCGAACGGGUGAGUAAUGUAUCGGAACGUGCCUAAUGGCAGGGAUAACUACGCCGAAGGCAGCGUAGCUAACUGCAUACGCCCUUCAGGGGAAAGCGGGAAAGCCUUCGGGCCUCGCACUAUUGCGACAGCCGAUAUCGGAUUAGCUAGUUGGUGGGGUAACGGCUCACCGGGCGACGUCCGUGGCUGGUUGAGGACGACCAACCUGGGACUGGGAACUGACCCGAACUCUACGGGAAGGCAGCAGUGGGGAAUUUUGGACAAUGGGGAAACCCUGAUCCAGCCAUCCCGCGUGUGCGAUAGAGGCCUUCGGGUUGUAAAGCACUUUUGGCAGGAAAACAGCACGGGAUAAUACCCCGAGCGCAACUGACGACACCUGCAGAGUCAAACUCAGCCGCUACAUUGCCAGCAAGCGCGACGUAUGGGGUGCAAGCGCGUUAAUCCGGAAUUACUGGGCGUAAGCGUGCCAGGCGGUUCGGAAAAGAAAGAUGUGAAAUCCAGAGCUUAACUUUGGAACUGCAUUUUUAACUACCGAGCUGGUGUAUCAGAGGGAGGUGGAAUUCCGUGUAGCAGUGAAAUGCGUAGAUAUGCGGAGGGACACCGAUGGCGAAGGCAGCCUCUGGGUGCUGCUGACGCUCCAUGCGAAACAUUGAGAGCAAACAGGAUUAGAUACCCUGGUAGUCCACGCCUAAACGAUGUCAACUAGCUGUUGGGGCCUUCGGGCCUUGGUAGCGAAAACGCGCGUGAAGUUGACCGCCUGGGAAUACGGUCGCAAGAUUAAAACUCAAAGAAAUUGACGAGGUUCCCGCACAAGCGGUGGAUGAUGUGGAUUAAUUCGAUGCAUCGCCGAAAAACUGCACUACCCUUGACAUGUGUCUGGAAUCCCGAAGAGAUUUGGAGGUGCUCUUAAAGAACAGAACACAGGUACUGCAUGGCCAUCCAUCAGCUCAGCAUCGUGGAUAUUGGGUUAAGUCCCGCAACGACGCAACCCUUGUCAUUAGUUGCUACGAAAGGGCACUCUAAUGAGACUGCCGGUGAUGAAACCGGAGGAAGGUGGGGAUGACGUCAAGUCCUCAUGGCCCUUAUGGGUAGGGCUUCACACGUCAUACAAUGGUCGGGACAGAGGGUCGCCAACCCGCGAGAGCCAAUCCCAGAAACCCGAUCGUAGUCCGGAUCGCAGUCUGCAACUCGACUGCGUGAAGUCAGAAUCAUAGUAAUCGCGGAUCAGCCUUCGGUGAACCGUUCCCAGGUCCUUGUACACACCGCCCGUCACACGGAAUUGGUUUUGCAAGUGAAUUAGCCCUAACCGUAAGGAGGGCGUUACACGGUAGGAUUCAUAUUCGGGGUGAAGUCGUAACAAGGUAGCUCCUGAUACCACAAUUGCUCCCAAGACAAUACAUGCUUU